RNAcentral lists this ribosomal RNA (200 nucleotides) under uncultured bacterium. RNAcentral's name for it is "partial 16S ribosomal RNA". It matches the Rfam family "Bacterial small subunit ribosomal RNA", at positions 28 to 256 of the family's 1533-position model. The record is from RNAcentral.
GGCGAACGCUGGCGGCAGGCCUAACACAUGCAAGUCGAACGGAUCCUUCGGGAUUAGUGGCGCACGGGUGCGUAACGUGUGGGAAUCUGCCCUUGGGUACGGAAUAACUCAGAGAAAUUUGUGCUAAUACCGUAUAAUGUCUUCGGACCAAAGAUUUAUCGCCCAAGGAUGAGCCCGCGUAAGAUUAGCUAGUUGGUGGG